GACGAACGCUGGCGGCGUGCUUAACACAUGCAAGUCGAACGGAAAGGCCCUGCUUGCAGGGUGCUCGAGUGGCGAACGGGUGAGUAACACGUGGGUGAUCUGCCCCUUACUUUGGGAUAAGCCUGGGAAACUGGGUCUAAUACUGGAUAGGACCAUGCUGUAGGUGGUGUGGUGGAAAGAUUAGUUUCGGUAAGGGAUGAGCUCGCGGCCUAUCAGCUUGUUGGUGGGGUAAUGGCUUACCAAGGCGUCGACGGGUAGCCGGCCUGAGAGGGUGGACGGCCACAUUGGGACUGAGAUACGGCCCAGACUCCUACGGGAGGCAGCAGUGGGGAAUAUUGCACAAUGGGCGCAAGCCUGAUGCAGCGACGCCGCGUGGGGGAUGACGGCCUUCGGGUUGUAAACUCCUUUCAGCCAUGACGAAGCCCUUGUGGUGACGGUAGUGGUAGAAGAAGCACCGGCUAACUACGUG
RNAcentral lists this ribosomal RNA (469 nucleotides) under uncultured bacterium. RNAcentral describes it as "partial 16S ribosomal RNA". It matches the Rfam family "Bacterial small subunit ribosomal RNA", at positions 28 to 507 of the family's 1533-position model. The record is from RNAcentral.